GAUUAACGCUAGCGGCAGGCCUAAUACAUGCGAGUUGAACGGGAUUGAUUGUAGCAAUACGGUCAUGAGAGUAGCGCAUGGGUGCGUAACACGUAUGCAACCUACCUAUAACUGGGGAAUAGCCUCCCGAAAGGGAGAUUAAUACCGCAUAAUAUUAUUUAAUGGCAUCAUUUGAUAAUUAAACCUCAGGGGGUUAUAGAUGGGCAUGCGUCCGGUUAGCUAGUUGGUGAGGUAAUGGCCAACCAAGGCUACGAUCGGUAGGGGGUCUGAGAGUAUGAUCCCCCACACUGGUACUGGGACACGGACCAGACUCCUACGGGAGGCAGCAGUAAGGAAUAUUGGACAAUGGGCGCAAGCCUGAUCCAGCCAUGCCGCUUGAAGGAUGAAGGCCCUAUGGGUCAUAAACUUCUUUUAAACGGGACGAAACCCCUCGAGGUGUCGAGUGCUGACGGUACCGUAAGAAUAAGGGUCGGCUAACUUCGUGCCAGCAGCCGCCGUAA
Molecule: ribosomal RNA, 500 nt
Filed under: uncultured bacterium
Lineage: Bacteria
Description: partial 16S ribosomal RNA
Rfam family: Bacterial small subunit ribosomal RNA
Source: RNAcentral